UACAGAGGUCUCAAGCGUUGUUCGGAUUCAUUGGGCGUAAAGGGUGCGUAGGCGGCGGGGCAAGUCUGGUGUGAAAUCCCGGGGCUCAACCUCGGAACUGCACUGGAUACUGCCUUGCUAGAGAUCUGGAGAGGAAACUGGAAUUUACGGUGUAGCAGUGAAAUGCGUAGAUAUCGUAAGGAAGACCAGUGGCGAAGGCGGCUCACUGGCCCGGUACUGACGCUGAGGUGCGAAAGCGUGGGGAGCAAACAGG
Molecule: ribosomal RNA, 253 nt
Filed under: uncultured bacterium
Lineage: Bacteria
Description: partial 16S ribosomal RNA
Rfam family: Bacterial small subunit ribosomal RNA
Source: RNAcentral